AAAUUGAAGAGUUUGAUCAUGGCUCAGAUUGAACGCUGGCGGCAGGCCUAACACAUGCAAGUCGAGCGGAAACGGCAGUAUUGAAGCUUCGGUGGAUUUACUGGACGUCGAGCGGCGGACGGGUGAGUAACGGCUGGGAACCUGCCCUGACGAGGGGGAUAACCGUUGGAAACGACGGCUAAUACCGCAUAAUGUCUACGGACCAAAGGUGGCCUCUACAUGUAAGCUAUCGCGUUGGGAUGGGCCCAGUUAGGAUUAGCUAGUUGGUAAGGUAAUGGCUUACCAAGGCGACGAUCCUU
Molecule: non-coding RNA, 299 nt
Filed under: Salinivibrio sp. KP-1
Lineage: Bacteria; Pseudomonadati; Pseudomonadota; Gammaproteobacteria; Vibrionales; Vibrionaceae
Description: Bacterial small subunit ribosomal RNA
Rfam family: Bacterial small subunit ribosomal RNA
Source: Rfam by way of RNAcentral